CAUGAACACUCCCUAUUUUGAGUUUGUACCAAUGUCUAGCUUUUCCCGUUAAAGAGAACGGAAAGAGCUUCCAUUUGAGGGUCUCAUCGGACAUUCCUUCUAUGCGAAGGAGGUCACAGACUUGAUAAAACUCUCUUAGGUGUGUGUAUGGGUUUUCCUCACCUUCUCCUGAGAAAGGUUGUUUUUGAACAAAUUCUAUUUAUUCGGGGUCUAUCUCAAAACUAGAUGCUAUGAUAGGCUUUGAAGAUUUUGGUGGUUCGAGAUGUGUGCCCGUACGUCUAUGAAAUUCAUAGAUAGACAUGUUUGAAUUCAUGAUAGACCAGAAAUCAAGGAUUAGAUAAGAAGAAAGAUUAGCAGAGAUGAGGCAAAGGAUAAAAGGAAAAUAUAUAUUUUUUUAUUUUUUUAGAAAAUGAUUAAGCUAGUUCGUAGUCAACUCAGCAACCGUUUCCCCGGCAACGGCGCCAAAAAUGCUUGUUGACACUUGCUAACACCACUUGAAUACUAGGUUGUCAUCCCUAGCAUGGCACUAGAGUGUACUAUGGUAUUUAUACGCACACAGAUAAUCCGCAAGCGCACGGAUACCGUUGAAGCUUUUACCCGGUUAAAGGUUUUAUCGUAUCCACAGGGAAACGGGAGAACCAACUACGCUCUAACUUAACCAAGAUAGAUAGAUAGGUGAAAAUAGGAAAGAUAGUAGAAUCGAAUAAAAACAAUAUUAAAGGUAAGAUAACAGUGAGUGAUAAUAUGGGAAUAGAGAAUAGAGCAAUUCUAGUAUAUGGGCGAUGGU
Molecule: long non-coding RNA, 787 nt
Filed under: Sorghum bicolor (sorghum)
Lineage: Eukaryota; Viridiplantae; Streptophyta; Magnoliopsida; Poales; Poaceae
Description: long non-coding RNA (SBIC_LNC010119)
Source: RNAcentral